RNAcentral lists this ribosomal RNA (506 nucleotides) under uncultured bacterium. RNAcentral's name for it is "partial 16S ribosomal RNA". It matches the Rfam family "Bacterial small subunit ribosomal RNA", at positions 29 to 523 of the family's 1533-position model. The record is from RNAcentral.
AGUGAACGCUGGCGGUAGGCCUAACACAUGCAAGUCGAACGGCAGCACAGGAGAGCUUGCUCUCUGGGUGGCGAGUGGCGGACGGGUGAGGAAUACAUCGGAAUCUACUCUGUCGUGGGGAAUAACGUAGGGAAACUUACGCUAAUACCGCAUACGACCUACGGGUGAAAGCAGGGGACCUUCGGGCCUUGCGCGAUUGGAUGAGCCGAUGUCGGAUUGGCUAGUUGGCGGGGUAAAGGCCCACCAAGGCGACGAUCCGUAGCUGGUCUGAGAGGAUGAUCAGCCACACUGGAACUGAGACACGGUCCAGACUCCUACGGGAGGCAGCAGUGGGGAAUAUUGGACAAUGGGCGCAAGCCUGAUCCAGCCAUACCGCGUGGGUGAAGAAGGCCUUCGGGUUGUAAAGCCCUUUUGUUGGGAAAGAAAUCCAGCUGGCUAAUACCCGGUUGGGGUGACGGUACCCAAAGAAUAAGCACCGGCUAACUUCGUGCCAGCCGCCGCAGUAA